Molecule: long non-coding RNA, 3542 nt
Organism: Cavia porcellus (domestic guinea pig)
Lineage: Eukaryota; Metazoa; Chordata; Mammalia; Rodentia; Caviidae
Exons: 3
Source: RefSeq, a predicted model, not a curated record
UCAACAAAUGUUCACUCUUUCUUUAACGAUUUCCCUCCAAAAUAUGUGAAUCUAAACUAACCUUUGGCUGCUACAGCCUCCCUAACCUAUCCAAUCAGCUUCAUCUAAGGAGAGGAAGUGACUGGACUUACAGGAAUGAGACCCUUUCUGCUGCCCAGCACCCUGCAAACAGUAGGCUGUCUAAAAUACUUAUUCAAAAUAACUGAUUAAAAGUUAGCAUGGCUUAUGUCUGGAUAUGCCCCCAAAGCCUGGUGGGGGCAGGCUUUUGCAGAGUUAGCUGAGUCCAGAAUGUGUGACCGGUCUGUAGUGCGGUGCAGCGACUACCAGUGCUAGGAUUAAGGCUGUGAUGGCUGGAUCAAUCCACUGAUUAGAUCAGCACUGUUCUAAUCCCAGCAGUCUGAAAAGAUAAAAGGAGAAAAGAGGCCUGGUCCCCCGUUUGCUCUUGCUGCUUUUGCUGUCUUCUGCUGCCAUGAACGGUUACCCCUCUGCCAUGUGCCACCCUGCCAGGGAGCCAGCUGGUAAUGGACUGAAACCUCUGCAAACUGUAAGCUAAAUAAAUCUUUCCUUCCUUCAUUCCAGGCAUUUUGUCUCAGCAACGAGAGAAAAGUAACUAACACAAAAGAAAAUUAUUAAACGUAGUAGGGGGGAGGAAUCUAUAAAUUUCUUUUACCUUAAGGUUAUGCCUAAUAAAAGUCCUCCAGAUACCCACUUCACAUAUAAUUCAGCAAAAGAAACACGGUGAACAGCAAAGGGCUUCUAUGCACGCGGGCCUAGGAAUGCCCCCAGUACAUUCUGUUUACACUAGUACUGAGCGUGCACAGCCCCGAGAACAGCCCCACACACACACACACACACACACACACACACACACACGGCUCUGUCAGGAAUCGGAACUACAGGUGCAGUCUUUGGGAUCUUACUCAGGAAAAACCAGGCUGUGCAUCUAGAGAAUCUGCCUCCCGUGUUCUCGGCCACUUCCAUGCUAGCAAGAUGCCUGCUCUGCUGUGAGCUGCAGUGCCUGCGCUGGGCAGGUGAGGUGCCCUGGCGGCCACGUGACCUCAGUCGGAAUUUCAGCACCGCCCAGCCAUCUAUGCACCGUGUUCCUGCUAACUUGACGGUCAGCGUCCUCCGAGGUGGACGUGAAAUCACAGCACCCGCUCGAGUGUCGCAGGCUGUGCGUGAUGUGAUGGUGAAGAUGUGGCCAAAGUGCAGAUCGCUGCCUCAGGUGCCCUGACCCCACCAGCAGCUCGCCGGUGAGUGUGCCCUGGCUAGGUCCUGGGGAAGUGGAGAGGGUGGUUCAAACACGAGGUUAGACAUGAGGUUAACUGAGAAAAACACCAGCAAGGACAGGGCCGGAGGAGGGACAAAGGAAAGGCAGAUAGAGUCCACCUAGGGCAGAGACUCCAGAAAGCCUCGCCCUCUUGGGAGUCCCCAGGCAGAAAGGCAACAGGGCUGGGUCAGCACUAGUGCCCUCACCAGCACCACAGCUGGCUCCUGGCUACUGGUCUUAGGACCACAGGUGGCCCUCAUCCUCUGGUCCUGCUACGCAUUUUAACUCCCUUGCGCUCAGCCAUGGCUCUGAAGGGCCUGGUCUGUAGCCUUUGAGGACUCCCAGUUCCCACAGGCCUUGGGCCCAUACGUUCCAGCACAGCACCAUGGCUUGGGGAGUACCAGAAAGGCCCACGUACACCUACUGGGUUCUGCACAACUUCCUCCUGGUCCUGUCCUCUUCUUCCUGCUGAGCAUGGACCUCACCUCCAGCACAGUGACUCCUGCCUUGGGGGCCCUGGAGACAAGGGAUCCAAGGUGACAGUUCCACUUUCUGAUUCAAUGGGACACAUACAUUCCUCUGGGAGGACCAAGCCUUUGGUCCUUCAUAAGCCCCGACCUUUGGGGACAGGAAGGACAAAGUUCCCCACAGGUCACUCACAUGGGACCCCAGCUACUUUGACUCUCACUCCUGGACCUGCGAUUCUGUGUGUUGUGACACAGCCCCAUUUGAAGACCUCUGGCUGAACGCGUAUCCCACAGGAUGAUGGCCGAGUCCUCUCUCAGAGCCAUCCCAGCACCCUGUGGGGCUGGCUGCUCUGGGUGGAACUGUGUGUGAUGCACACAGCCGGCCCAAUUCCAUUCACUCAUCCAUUUGUCCAGUCACUGGUUUGUUCAUUCAUCUACAGCGCUGCAGAUUGAACCCAAGCCACGUGUUGGGAUAGUUCUCUACCACUGAGCGACAUCCCUGGCCUUUCUGGGGGAAGAGAAGGUGUCUCGCUAAGCCAUCCAGGCCAACUUCAAGCUUGCAAUCCUCCAGCCUCAGCCACUGAGGCCUGGGACUCCAGCUGUGACCUGCCACACCCAUCCUGAUGGCCCCAUGGAGCCAUCAGGAUCACCCCAUUGAGCACAGAUCACAAGGCCUGCCAUGGAACACGGUCCUCAGGCUUCCGGAGCCAUUCCACUGUAAGCCCGCCUCACCCUCUGGGGUGCUGGGGCCUGAUCUCAAAGAACUGCUGCGCUCCUCUUGGGCAAGCUUACUUCCCACUCAUAGUUCCACCCAUGGUCACUGAGAAACCCCAGACUGGUCUUUAUUUGCACCACCACACACACGGAACACGUGCUUCACGUGGCAUCUGCACACCGGCUUCCUCCGUGCUCUUGAGCUCACUUCACAUCCCACGGCAUCACCCACUUGCGAUUAUUCCACUCACAGCGAGGCCAGCACUGUGCUGAGAAGAGGGCGCACGCAUAUCCCAUCACCCCUGGCCUCUCCCUCUCAGGGCCCGAGCUUAGACACUGCAGUGCUGCAUCCUUCCAUUGUCCUACUGUGAGAGAAGAGAAUCAUAAGGUUCACUUCAGGGCUAUCGAAGGGAUGGAAGAUGACAGCCCCCAUCAGUGAGUGGUUAAGGUUGUCAACAAAGCAACGUCUGGAAAGAUAAACAUCAGCGUGUUCUAGAAACACUCAAUAUACAGAACAAGGUAUUUUACUAUGGCUUUAAUCUAAUUGAAGGCUUCUGUGGUUCCUGUAAUUAACCAGCAACAGAGUAGGAUUAAUAAAGCCAAGCCAUGAGCUCUGCAUGCAAGAGCUGAUUGGUGGUAUCUUCUGAAGCAGGUAAUGAGAUGACCGCCCGAAGGUGCUUCCCUGCCAUCGGUCAGGUUUUAGAGGAAAGUCGGAUUGCUCUGGACUGACUUACCACCUCUGAAAACACAGCAGGCUGUCUCACUCUGGGGAUUUAUCUCGCUGCAUUAAUUAAAACACUGUGAGGAAUUCUUUUGUUUUCCUUUUGUGUGUUGUUGACAUGGUCUCACUAUGUAUUCCAGGCUAGCCUUGAACUCACUAUGGAGCUCAGGUUGCCCUUAAAUCCAUGAGGAGCCUCCUGCCUCAGCCUUGCAGAUGCUGAGAUUACAGGUGUGCGGCACCACACCUGGCCAGGAAAUAGUAUUCUGACACCCUAGCUUGAUGUCUUGGGAAGACCUUGGCCAAAAAGUAGGAGACCUGAGCGUGGCGAGUUCUUCACUAGAAAAGGAGCGGCGGGCCAACCCUUUGACCU